Vicia faba (fava bean) is the source of this 294-nucleotide non-coding RNA. The record is from the annotation of a GenBank genome assembly. Lineage: Eukaryota; Viridiplantae; Streptophyta; Magnoliopsida; Fabales; Fabaceae.
AUGGCGGAUGGCGGUCCAUGGCAGAGAACCAAAAUACCACCAUACCGGCCGCUUUGCAGCGCUGUUAUAGCGGAUUAUGACGGAAACAACCCCAACAUCAGCCAAUAUUUAGCAUUGCAGCGAGCCCAAAAUGCGCCAUGUACUAAAUCGCCGCCAAUAGUGGCGCGAUCGCGGCGGUGUAGAGAGGAGCCGCCGCCGAACGCUACAGAGAUGCCAGAUGCAUUUCACGAGAACUACACGGCGCGUGUAGCUGCCGUCACGGAGUUACGCAUCCGUCAUAAUGAAGAUUUUUAA